CAGUCGUACCGGCGGAUAAUCAGCCUUUAGGAUGCGAUUUUGUGGAGCGUGAGGAGCUAAUCGCCUUCAUGCCUAUAUAUUCGUGUACUUGGGGUGUACUUAUUCGUGAGGUAAGUUAACAUCAAUUUUGGUCGUCAUAAAAUGACUGGAGGAAUGUAGCUUCGAUCUCGUAUUGAAGUGUUAUAGCCUUUGGUAGAUGUGAUUAUCGGGGAUUGGAGGAUUGCAACGGAUACCCGUUCGGGGCUGCUUGUCUGAUCUCUGAUCG
RNAcentral lists this ribosomal RNA (265 nucleotides) under Glomus sp. (unid). The record is from RNAcentral. Lineage: Eukaryota; Fungi; Glomeromycota; Glomeromycetes; Glomerales; Glomeraceae.